Poeciliopsis prolifica (blackstripe livebearer) is the source of this 417-nucleotide long non-coding RNA. RefSeq lists it as uncharacterized. Lineage: Eukaryota; Metazoa; Chordata; Actinopteri; Cyprinodontiformes; Poeciliidae. The transcript is spliced from 3 exons. The record is from RefSeq and is a predicted model, not a curated record.
CAAGACCAGUCAAAGCCAAAUAAGUUCAUCAGAAAAACUGACUUGCCUCUGCUGUCGGUCUUCCAUGAGCUCCAACAACCAAAAGGUUCUUCUCCUUGUGCUAAGACUCGUUGUCUCCUCUGUCAACUGACUAAAAACAAUCCAGCUGGAUUCACCUGUGCUUGUCCAUAUUUUAAAGUACUGCUGCCUGAUGGGACAUGUAAAUAUCCUCAGUUUUUAUAUGGCACUGCAACAACAAUCAGCUUGUUGGAGUUUAAAGGCAGAGAGUCAUCUGAAACAGAACUGUUUUCUUCAGAAGAAGGAAUCCUGUCUUUUGAUGUCAACUGGUACAGAGAAUGGUUGUACUGGGCCAACCAAACUGGCCAUGUUCAAUGCACCAAGCUAACUCUGGACAAGACUGAAUUCAUUUCCACACCU